GGGCCCGCACAAGCGGUGGAGCAUGUGGUUUAAUUCGAUGAUACGCGAGGAACCUUACCAGGGCUUAAAUGCAGAACGACCGGGAUGGAAACAUCCCUUUCUUCGGACGGUCUGCAAGGUGCUGCAUGGUUGUCGUCAGCUCGUGCUGUGAAGUGUCGGGUUAAGUCCCAUAACGAGCGCAACCCCUAUUUCUAGUUGCCAGCGGUUCGGCCGGGGACUCUAGAGAAACUGCCAGCGUAAGCUGUGAGGAAGGUGGGGAUGACGUCAAAUCAUCACGGCCUUACGUCCUGGGCCACACACGUGCUACAAUGCGGCGUACAAAGCGAUGCAAGAUCGUGAGAUGGAGCA
This 348-nucleotide ribosomal RNA is filed under the name uncultured bacterium. RNAcentral describes it as "bacterial SSU rRNA". It matches the Rfam family "Bacterial small subunit ribosomal RNA", at positions 917 to 1269 of the family's 1533-position model. The record is from RNAcentral.